This 254-nucleotide long non-coding RNA is filed under the name Mytilus galloprovincialis (Mediterranean mussel). The record is from RNAcentral. Lineage: Eukaryota; Metazoa; Mollusca; Bivalvia; Mytilida; Mytilidae.
AUUCUCAAUUUUACUUCAGAAAAGUAGUGUCAAAGGCGAAAAUUAUAGUUCAAUGGUUUGUUGUUGGGAACAGAGUCGGGCUGAGAAAAGUGUCCUUUUCUCAGUAUUUAACUGCACACCUACUCUCAUAACUGUCACUAUACUUUGAACAAAGGAUGAAGAGAUUCCUAUUACCAAUUUAGUUUUGGGUGAAAAAUUUAAAACUUUGGAUUGGUUUGAAACGAAACUGAUUUAAUAACAAGAAACAAAUUUCA